GAGAGACGUUGUCCAUGAUCAGAGACAUUGUCCCAUGCUUCGCAGAGCUCUGCGCAAGAAUCGGUAGAGACACUGUGGUUCCUCGAUUCGACGGCAUGACCGCGAUCAUGGAGACAUUUGUCAAUGAUCACAGAGACACCGUCUAUGAUCUCAGAGACAUCGUCCACGAUCACAAAGACAUUGUCCAUGAUCACAGAGACUUUGUCUAUAAUCUCAGAGACAUUGUCCACGAUCACAGAGACGUAGUCCACGAUCAAAGAGUCUUCGUACAAUGAAGAAGUUCUUUGAGACCAGGACAGAGGCCUCCAGGUGUCACCACUUCAUCCACAACAUCGUCCACGAUCGCUGAGACGUCGUCCACGAUCGCAGAGACAUGGUCCACGAUCAGAGAGACAUUGUUGAGGAUGAGGGAGACAUCGUCCACGAUCAGAGACAUUGUCCACGAUCGCAGAGACCUUGUCAAAGACGAGAGAGACGUUGUCCAUGAUCAGAGACAUUGUCCCAUGCUUCGUAGAGACCUUGCGAUAGAAUCGGCGGAGACUGGGGUCACCGAUUUGACGGCACUGCCCGCGAUCAUGGAGACAUUGUCGAUGAUCACAGAGACACCGUCUAUGAUCUCAGAGACAUCGUCCACGAUCACAAAGACAUUGUCCAUGAUCACAGAGACUUUGUCUAUAAUCUCAGAGACAUUGUCCGUGAUCACAGAGACGUAGUCCACGAUCACAGAGACGUAGUCCACGAUCACAGAGACGUAGUCCACGAUCACAGAGAGUCUUCGUACAAUGAAGAAGUUCUUUGAGACCAGGACAGAGGCCUCCAGGUGUCACCACUUCAUCCACAACAUCGUCCACGAUCGCUGAGACGUCGUCCACGAUCGCAGAGACAUGGUCCACGAUCAGAGAGACAUUGUUGAGGAUGAGGGAGACAUCGUCCACGAUCAGAGACAUUGUCCACGAUCGCAGAGACCUUGUCAAAGACGAGAGAGACGUUGUCCAUGAUCAGAGACAUUGUCCCAUGCUUCGUAGAGACCUUGCGAUAGAAUCGGCGGAGACUGGGGUCACCGAUUUGACGGCACUGCCCGCGAUCAUGGAGACAUUGUCGAUGAUCACAGAGACACCGUCUAUGAUCUCAGAGACAUCGUCCACGAUCACAAAGACAUUGUCCAUGAUCACAGAGACUUUGUCUAUAAUCUCAGAGACAUUGUCCGUGAUCACAGAGACGUAGUCCACGAUCACAGAGACGUAGUCCACGAUCACAGAGACGUAGUCCACGAUCACAGAGAGUCUUCGUACAAUGAAGAAGUUCUUUGAGACCAGGACAGAGGCCUCCAGGUGUCACCACUUCAUCCACAACAUCGUCCACGAUCGCAGAGACGUCGUCCACGAUCAGAGAGACAUUGUUGAGGAUGAGGGAGACAUCGUCCACGAUCAGAGACAUUGUCCACGAUCGCAGAGACCUUGUCAAAGAUGAGAGAGACGUUGUCCAUGAUCAGAGACAUUGUCCCAUGCUUCGCAGAGCUCUGCGCAAGAAUCGGUAGUGACACUGUGGUUCCUCGAUUCGACGGCAUGACCGCGAUCAGGAGACAUUGUUAAUGAUCAGAGAGACACCGUCUAUGAUCUCAGAGACAUCGUCCACGAUCACAAAGACAUUGUCCAUGAUCACAGAGACUUUGUCUAUAAUCUCAGAGACAUUGUCCGUGAUCACAGAGACGUAGUCCACGAUCAAAGAGUCUUCGUACAAUGAAGAAGUUCUUUGAGAC
Lates calcarifer (barramundi perch) is the source of this 1759-nucleotide long non-coding RNA. RefSeq lists it as uncharacterized. The record is from RefSeq and is a predicted model, not a curated record. NCBI's taxonomy places the organism in Eukaryota, Metazoa, Chordata, Actinopteri, Centropomidae. The transcript is spliced from 4 exons.